AGAGAUUGAAGAACAUGGAAAUAACAAAAAUGUUGGGUUCAGCAUGAACGAUGUGAUCGAAGAGUGUAAGCUAUUUUACUUUGCCGGCCAAGAGACUACCUCUGUUUUGCUUAAUUGGACGAUGGUCUUAUUGAGCAAGCAUCAAGAUUGGCAAGAACGUGCAAGGCAAGAGGUUUUGCAAGUGUUUGGCAAUAAUAAGCCCAACUAUGAUGGAUUGAAUCACCUCAAAAUUGUAAGUACGAAGGAAAUAGUAUUCGAUAUUGAUCAAUUUGAUCAUAUUAAUCUCAGUUGUGUUUGUAUGUAUGUGACAGGUCCAGAUGAUACUUUACGAGGUACUCAGGCUUUAUCCGCCCGUAACUGCGCUUAGUCGAUCUGUUCUUAAGGAAACGAAACUCGGAAACUUGACAUUACCCGCUGGGGUUCAAAUUGGCUUGCCAAUGAUCCUAGUUCACCAGGAUCCUGAACUUUGGGGUUACGAUGCAGUUGAGUUUAAGCCGGAAAGGUUUGCGGAAGGAAUUUCAAAGGCGGCCAAAAAUCAAGUUUCAUAUUUCCCAUUCGCAUUGGGUCCUAGGAUAUGUGUUGGACAAAAUUUUGCUCUAGUAGAAGCAAAAAUGGCCAUGGCAAUGAUUCUUCAAAACUACUCAUUCGAGUUGUCUCCAUCCUAUGUCCAUGCUCCAACGGCGGUUCCAACCCUUCAUCCGGAACUGGGUACCCAAUUGAUUCUACGGAAACUAAGGUGCAAAAAUAAUUAAUGCCGGCAACUAUAUAUUGUCAAUAAGAUUAGCAUGAUGCCAAUGUAGACUCUUUUAUAAUGAAGUUUAAUGUAUUUAAUUUUGUAUUGAGAUUCAAAGCUUAGACAAGAGCUGUUUAGAUUUUUAAAUUGAGCUCAACACAACUCUAGUUUUAUUUAGAGUAAAGAUGUUUCCCCACAUUGGAAAAUUUUAUAACGCCAUGAUUAGAAUUACAGCAUUAAUGUUGUGGUAAAAAAUAUAUUUUAUAAAAGGCCAAAAGCUUGCUUAGUCCCUACAUUAUGAGCUUAGUGCUCAUUUAAUCUCUAUAUUUUUAAGAAUACCUCAAAACGUCCUUACUAUUAAAUAUUGACAUUUAUACCAUUAUUUUUUUAGCAUGUUUUUACAAUUUUACACUCUUACAGUAAUGUUUCUUUUUUAGAAAUUAAUAAAAAAUUGGAUUAUCAAAUUAAACCCAAAAAUAAAAUAAAAAACAAAAAAGAUAUAUAUUAAUUUUUGUGGAAGCUCAUGUGUGUCCAAAAAAAAAUAAUUUUGUAAAAAAUUAAAUUAUCAAUUUUGUAAAAAAUUAAAUUAUCAAUUUUGUAAAAACUUAAAUUAUCAAUUUUUUUUUAAAAAUUAAUAUUUUAACUUCUCAGCAGAGUGUUCCACAAAAAUUAAUAUAUAUAUUGUUUUUAUUUUAUUUUUUGGUGUUAAACUAGUAAUUUAAUUUUUCUUUUUAAUAAUGUUUAAAAAAGGAACAUUAUUGUAAUAGGGUAAUAUUGUAAAAAUAAGUCAAAAUGAACAAAAGGUAAUGGCAAGGAUGUCAAUAAUUUAAUGAUAGGGAUGUUUUGAGAUGUUUUUAAAAAUAUAAGGACUAAACGGACACUAACCUUAAAAUAUAGGAACUAAACGAACUUUUACCCUUUAUAAAAUUAUACAUAAGAUAAGUGAUUGGAAGAUAAAACAUGUAAAUUAAUAUAAGCCAGUUAAUUAUUAAAACAAUUAACAUGAUUUCUACAUAAUUUUAGUGAAAAAUAAUUUUUUCAUUUACUUUAGCUAAACAAUGAAAUAAAAAUAGUCAUCAAUCUAAGACCAAAAAAAUUAUACUAAAAACAAGUAGAAUAAGUUUUACUGAAUUGGUUUAAGAAUAAAUUCUAUAUUUGUCUUAAGAUAUUUAUAAACUUUUUUUUUUCAUUUUCUAUCAUUGUUUUUUUUUUACUACACAAGUUAACUAAGUGAAAUAAUUUAUCUUAAUGUGGAUUAAACAAAAAAUAAAAUAAAAACAUGUUCUUAUAUUACUAAACACAUAUAUGACAUAUCAAUAAAGUUAGAUUUAAUUUUGAGUUUUACAAGUACUUCUUGUAAUUUUAACCGUGACCCCUUACUUGUAUUUAGAAACUAGUUGCAUUACUGAUGAGGAGAUUUAGAAGGAUGAAAAAUCAUGUCAUCUUACAAUAAAUUCAAAAAACAUUAAAAGAAUAGAUUUCAAAAUCUAAUUUUGAGAAUAAAUUUAUAUAAAACAUCACAUUUAUUACAUAAGACCAAAACUAUCAUUAUUCAAUUUAAAAUAGAAUUAAUAAAUAUAUAAGGUAAUCAAUAUUAUAAUGAGUUUUUAUUUUACAUUUGUAAGUUUUUUUUAAUAACUCUUAUAUUAAUUUUGUAAAUUACACCUAAACUUAUGUUUUAUUUGUACUUAAUAUUGAUUUAUAGUUUUAUAUUAUGUCUUUAAAUUUUUAUUUUGUUCACUACCAAUACAUUAAUUUACCAAUCUUAUAUUAAUUUACUUAUUUUAUCUUUUAUUUACAUGUCUUAUGUUUCAUUUACGCAAUUUAUAUUUUAUUUCACACUAAAUAUUGAUUUAUAAAUUAUAUAUUACAUUUGUAAGUUUUUCUUUUGUUUAUCAAUAAUAUACCAGUUUAUCACUCCUAUUUUAAUUUGUUUGUUUUACCUUCUACUUACAAGUCUAAUAUUUUAUUUACAUAAUUUAUAUGUUAUUUCACAGUUAAUAUUGAUUUACAUGCUUUAUAUUAAAUUUAUAAGUCUUAUGUUUCAUUUACAUAAUUCAUAUUUGAUUACAUAAAUUCAUGACAUCAUCAAGUGACCUUGUACUUUAUAAUCGGGUGAGGCUAUUUAUUUAUAUAUUCUAAAAGUUAUUUUUAAUCCUCUUUAUUUAAUAAAAUUUUAUAUUAUAAAAAUGUCCUUUUAUGAAAUUAGUAUUAAGGAUUGAAUAAUUUUAACUUGAAACAAAUAUCCUUGACACACCCAUGUAUUAUAAAAUCUUAAAUCACCAUCAUCAUCUUCUUCUUCUUCUUUUUAAAUCAAUUUUUUUUCAAUUGGAAAAUUUGAAAGAUUGAAGACUUCUUUGCAAAUUUUUGUCAUGGGUGCACGUAUCCUCACUCUAAUAUCGUUUUCACCAAAUAUAUUUCAUUAACAUCUUCGAAAUAAGAUUAAUGGAAAUUAUAUUUAUGUAACUGAUACCUCAAUGAUAAAUUGUAGCCAAUACAUACUAAAAAUCAAAAUCACAAGAACUAUGAUUCAAUAAAAGAAACGAAGAAUUAUGAUUCAAUAAAAGAAAAAGGGAUAUAUAAUUUAUCUCAAGCCUUUAAUAAGAAGAGAGAAAAUUACUUUAGAAAAAGAAUAAUAAAACAGGAGCCCCCCAAAAAAAAAAUUCAAGACUAUUUUUUAGAUUUAUAUAUUUUACAUAGUAAAAAUUUGAUUUUAAAUUUUAAACGUUGUAUUUGAAAUAAUGAGUGCGCAGGCGGACCUAAGCGGGGGUGUAGCCCGGAUUAGUCCAGGAAAGUUAUUUAUAGCCCUUAUUUUUUUAUUAAUUUUAUAUAAUAAUAUAGUUUUAUUUUUUUUCAUAUUUGUCCCUAAUUUAACUACCCUUAUGUUUUUUUUUAUCAAUUUUAUAAAAUAAUACAGUUUUUAUUUUAUUUUCAAAUAUGUUCCUAAUUCAAUUAUAUUUUCUUCCCAAUUGGAAUUAGUGACUUAUUUCAUGAAAUAAUUAAAUUAUAUAUUUAUUGAAUAAAUUGAAAAGAUUUGGGAGCUAAAAUAUUAUUACUGUUUUAAUUUAUUUAUAAAAAUAAUUUAAUUGAAAAAAUGCCAAUACUUACAAAAACAAAAUAUAGUAACAACUAUAUAUCAACAUUUCUUAACUUUUAUGUGAAUUUUGAGAUUUUAGUUAUUAGUUACAUUAACCAAGAGGAUAAGUUAUAAGAUAAAAUUUAAAUAUUUUGAGGAGUUUUUGAUAGAAAAACCGUCAACAGUAGGUUCUUUAAAAAAAAGGUAGAGUGUAUGACAAAGAAACAAUGAUACCCAAAUAACUUUAUGUUAAGUUGAGUUUAGUUUAUUAUUAAAACUUUUGACUAAUAAUAUUUUAAAAUUUAAAAAGACGAAUAAAUUUUAAUUGUUUAAUUUAUUUAAGCUUGGUAAUUAAGUACUUGACUUCAAAUAUAAAAGUUUUACUACCAUUUUUAAUAAAUUGUGAUUACAUGUAUAGAUUUAUUUUAGCUUGAAAUUCUCAAUUGAUUUACUUAAAGGUUUUAUUGAGGACUUUUUUAGUAUUUUAAAAAGUGUGCAGAGUUAAAGAGAGUAGCUUUUUCAGUAUUUUAUGAGAUCGUGGCUGCAGCUGUUAAGAGAGUAGCUUUAAAAGGAAAUGUGGCAAACAUGGAGGCAGAAGCAGUGCUGCUUGGUAUUCAAGUAGCUCAGAAAACAAAUUGUACCCUAUUCAUUGUCGAAUCAGACUUGAAGGAAGUUGUGGAGCUCACUUUAAACAAGAAGGAAAGUUUAGCUAAAAUUUGUUGGAACAUUGAAGAAAUACAAGCAGAGUUGAAAAACCAGGCCUCGGCAGCUAUUCGUUUUGUCCCAAGAAAGUGUAAUGUAAUAGCCCAUAACUUAGCUAAUGUAGCUCUUGAGUUUGAGGAUCCUAUCUAUCACAUGGAUAGGUGAUUUCCCUGUCCAGCUGUUGAUGUUGUUCUCUUCUUCUUAAUCAAUUGAAUGCUUUACUUUCUCAUAGAAAAAAAAAGAGUGUGUGCAGAGUAAAAAUUAAUUAUUUUAAAGAGUGAGUAUAUUUGAACCCACCAAAUUACUUUGUAAACUCAUCUACUUAUUAAUUCUAUUGUUAAAAAUUUUAUAUUAUACUUUAUAAACCCAUGUUAAUAACCAACAUAUCCUUGAAAUUAAUUCAUGAUUUUCUGCAACAUUUUUCUUCUCUUCUUCUUCUUCCAUCUCUCCAACCCUUGGCGCAUUCAUAACCAAAGGUCGUAUCCUUCAACUUCUCAAGUGGAAUUUAUUUUUUGUCCGCGCUUGUCAUUAAACUAUUAUAAAGUAUAUAUAAUAUCAUGAAAAAAUUAAAUGACAAUAAGAUGAUAGUUGUAAUCAAUAAUCAAUUGAUUACACAACUAAUUCAAACGCUCAAUAUUUGUCAAUGGCAUAACUCUUCCCUUUCUUAUACAGUGCAAAUUUAAUGAAAUAAAUUUUAGGGAAAUUAUCAGCCAUAUACCUUUAAAUGACACCCGCAUCAAACGUGUGUGAACACUUUUCAAGUGUAUUACUCGUAUAUCCUAAGUUGACAAAAUACUUCUGACAUCCAACAAUCUGUUAACUUUCGUUAGAAAGUUAACAGAAUUGUGACAAAUUGACUAUUUUGCCUUUGAAACUCAAAAUAAGGUAAAAAGAUAAAUUUACUUCAAAAGUUAACGUAAAUUUUCAAUACACAAUUUUUUUUAUUUUGUUAUUAACAAUACAUUUUUUUGAUUAAAAAAUGAAUUAUUAAUGGUAUAUAUUAUUAACAAUUAUUCAUAAAAAAAAUCCAUAUUAUACCAUAAUAAAUUAUUAACAACAUAUUAUUUACACUUAUACAUAUUAUACCAUAAAAAUUUCCAAUUGGAGCUUGGAGGAGUGGAUUUUCAAAAAUUUAGGUUAAAUUUUGGAGGAGUAGAUUCGGUUGUAAAGUAGUUUUUUUUAGCAAUUAUUAAAAAUUAUCCGAUAAAUGGGAUGACAUGUCAUUGUUAUCAAUAUAUAUCAUAUGAUAUGUCAUUUUUUACUAGGUAAAUGGGAUGACAUGUCGUUUUUUAAUCAAAGUUUUGUCAAUCUUAAAAGACUAAAUUACCCUUAUGAUGUCAACACUUGCAAAAAGAAGUUAACGGAUUGGUGGACGGAAGAAGUGUUUUAUCAACUUAGGGUACACGAGUGAUACACUUAAAAAGUGUUCACACAUGUUUGAUACAGGUGUCAUUUAAGAGUAUAUGACUGAUAAUUUUCUUAAAUUUUAUUGCUUGAAUCUAAAAUAUCUUGACUAGAACUUAUUGGUUUAUUGGAUUCCAAUGAGCUUUACUGGUGAGAUAGUUUUGACCAAAUCCAAGUAUCCAACAACUUGAUUGGAUUUGUUUUCGACCAAAGGAGUUGAAGAAAAUUUAAAAAAAAAAUUAAAAGUAUGAAACAAAUUUUCUCUUAUGUCUACAUUGAACAGAUUUAGACAUGAUUAAAAGAUGAGAGCAUGAAGUAUAUACAUACUAUUAUGUCUUUAAUAGUAAUUUACGUUAGAGAUAAUUUAGUAGUAAAAAUGUUUUCUAAAAAGUGGUUCAAAUGAGUAUUAUGGUGGAUUCAAAUAGUCCCACCAUUUUUCAAAAGAUUAGGUUAUUUAUACUCCAAAAAUUACUUUGAACACUUUAUUACUCUGUACAAUCAUGUGCUGGAUUUAAAAUAAUUAAAUUUUACUUUCUACACUCUUUAAAAUACAAAAAAAAGACCUUAGUUAAACUAGUUAAACUAAUUUACUCAAAACACCAAUUAAACUAUUGAGCAUCCAAAAUGAAUUAAUAACAACUUAGUAUAUACACAAAGGAAUCAAAUUAUAUUCUAAACAUAUUCUUUGUUAGCUUUUGUCUAUUAAAGAAUGUAUUCAAUAUUAGUUUUUGCACCCAAUUUUUUAACCAAACAAUUGAAAAAAAUUUUGCCAUCUAGCCCCCCAAAAAAAAAAAAGAAAAAGAAAGAAAAAAGGAAAAAAAGAGGAAGAAGAAAUAGACGAAGAAAAAGAAGACUAAAAGAAGGAUGAGGAAGAGGAAGAAGACUGCAAUUUUUUUUUUCUUCUGAAAAUCAAAGAGUAAAAAUAUGCUCAAAAUAUAUUAAAAGUAUUGAUUUGCUCUUUGUUUAACUAAAUAUUGUUUAAGUUAUUGGAUUUAAAUUUUUUCGGGUUUAUGGCAAGAUAAUCAUAUAUUGAAUAGCGAGUGUUUGGAGUAAUUUUAUUAUGUUAGUUUAUAAGAGAGAUUCCAUAUUAGUAAUUCAUAUAAUAGGUGUUUUUGUAAUAAAAUAAUUUAUUAAAAUAAGAAUAUUCAUAGUAAUGUUAAGAGUGCAAAUAGCCCCACCUUUUUUAUAAAAUAAGUAAAUGAGUAUACAUAAAUAAUAGUAUAUUUUGAGUAUUUUUUCAAGCGCAAAUAGGCCCACCAUGCAUAAUUUAUUUAGAUGAGUUUUAUUUUAUUUAUUUUUUGUUAACUUCAGUUAUCUCUAAAUUAUCGUAAACCUUAAUUUACCCUAAUGAUCAUUCAAAAAAUACGAUCAAAUGGGAACAAUAGAUGAUUUCUUUUUUCUUUUUUUACCUUCUUAAUAGUAAUUGUGGAUUGAUUAAUGUUUAUUAUAGUUUGAGGAUAUUUUGAGAAUAAUUAAUGUAUUAGGGGUAAACAAUUUUUUUUUUUUCAAAUAAUUAACCGAACUUACAUUCUCUAGUUCUAUAGAAGACAGUCAAUGAGUGACAAGUCCACAAAGAUCACCACAUGCAUGAUUGAUAUUGACACGUGUACCAUUAGCUGGAGACAAUAUAAUGGUACAGGAAGAUUCGAAACAAAGAAAAGCCAUUAAACAUAUGCAAACGAAAAUAUGUUUUUAAUUCACUUUCAACUAAUCUACCACGUAGGCAAGUCUCAUUUCUUUGAACACUUCAAAAAUCUCUGUGUGUGAAAUGGAAUUGCCCCUGAAAUCCAUAGACCUGACCAUUGUUAUCGUAACAGUGGGAACUGGGCAUGGAGAGUGCUGAACUGGGUGUGGCUGAGGGGCCCAAGAAGCUGGAGAAAUUCCUGAGACAGCAAAGGUUUCAAAGGCAAUUCUUGCAGGCUUCUGUUUGGUGACUUGAAAGAAAGUUUAGACGAUAAUAUCUCGACUGGAUUGUGCCAUUAUUAAUCAAACUAAUUCAGUUUGCACAAUUGUAGAGCUGAUAUAAGUAGAAGAAAUCCAAAUAGACUUCUCGUUAUAAAUGUAGUUAGUAGAGAUCAUACACAUCAAGAUAAUUCUUGAAUAUUUUUAUGGGUUAAAACGUAAUUUUAUUUUUAUUAAUGAAGAAAAUAUGUAUGGUGUUGAAACAUUUAAGCUAUGUUGUUUGCGAGACCAAUAAUUUUCUUGAUAUCAUGGGCUAAUGGGUGUAACUCAAGCUGUGGUAAGUUAUGCCACGAGCAAAAUAACCAGAGCUUAAAAAUUGAUGCAGGCAAUAAUUCAUUUAUGUGGUUCGGUCCGACACGAAGGUUGAAUAUUGUGAAGCCCGAUCAAAUCAAAGAGAUAUCUACCAAGAUCAAUGAUUUUCAAAAAAUCAAUUCAGAUCCACUUGCCAGAUUAUUGGCACUUGCAUUGGUUAGCCAUGAGGUGACAAGUGGGUUAAUAUAGAAAUCUUAUCAACUAGGUCCACCAAGAGAAGCUCUAGGUUAUUAAUUGAUUUCUUCAUUUGUUUACAUAAAUGUCUUCAUUUUAAUUUCUUUCUGUUUCGUUUCAACUUAUGUUGCCUGCGUUCUACCAAAGUUGUAGUGAAAUAAUUACAAAGUGGGAGAACCUGACGUCUAAAGGAGGAUCAUGUGAGUUGGGUGUACGGCCUUCUCUUGCAAAAUUAACUAGUGAUGUGCUUCCUAGGACGGCUUCUGGGAGCAAUUAGCAAUGUAGGAGUUGAUUUUCUUCAAAUAUUAUGGAAGUAGGUUUGGACCAUCCUGGGCUUAUUACUUCGAUCCAUGUCAUCAUAUAUUUAAUCUAAGAUGUUAAUCAUAUUGUUGAAAUCGAUAAGUAGGACUUGAUUAGUGCAUUCAAUACGUUCUUGUAUUUUCUAUUGUUCUUAUUUCUUAUGGGCAGGCAUGUACCUUCAGAGAGAAAUAAGAGAAUGAAGGAAAUUGACAAGCAAAUACGAGCUUCACUGAUGGGAAUCACAAAAAACAGAUAGAAGGCAAUGAAAGCAGAGGAAGCUGGAAAUGAUGACUUGGCAUACUGAUGGAGACCAAUUUUAGAGAAAUUGAAGAACUUGGAAACAACAAAAAUGUUGGAAUAAGCUUUAACGAUGUGAUCGAAAAGUGCAAGCUAUUUUACUUUGCUGGCCAAGAGACUACCUCUGUUUUGCUUAAUUGGACAAUGUUGCUAUUGAGCAAGCAUCAAGAUUGACAAGUGUUGAGUGUUAGAAAAUGUAUAUUAAUAAAGGAGAAAAUCGUCAUUUUACACUUCAAGUCUCACUAACAUCCUUACUUUUCUAUAAUUAAGUCCCUUGUGAUUUAAUUAUGUGUGUUUUAUUUUAAUGAAGUAUUUUAUGUAUUUUAGGGGCAGCAUGGUCAUUUCACAAUUAACGAAAGAUUAGAGAGCAAAACAUAUAGCAAUUUUGGAGUCAGGACAGUCAAAAGCCUUAGGAGGAGCAUACAAGGAUAAAUAUUACUGUUCAUAUGUACGGUACUAUACAUGAUACUAUUCACGACGUUGUUCACAUAUACGGUAUGAUGACAUGUCAUUGACCGAUGACGUGGCAUUGACCAAUGAUGUGGCACAGACCGAUGAUGUGACAGUAUCGAUUGGACGAGUGAUGUGGCAUUAACUGCUUAUGUGGCGGUGACUGAUGAAUUGGCGUUGACCGAUGAUAUGUCACGAUCCUAUUGGCUAAAAUAUUGAUGUGGUGUUGACCGGUGACGUGGUAGUAUGUUAGUGGAGAAAAAAACGUGCAUACGGUACAUGCAUAUACACAGAAUAACAGCCCUGAUGAGGUGUUCUAUCCAAUCAGAACUUGCCACGUGGCGCAAUCCUUAGCAUCUAAAUUUUUUUAAUUUGAUGGCCAUAAUUUACUCAUUGUAUCUAUAAAAUGGGAGUUCUCCCCCCUAAUUCUAGACCCUUGAAUUCAUUUUUGAGCUCCAUUUUCUGUAAUUCAUUAUUUAUCUUGUAUUUUAUAUAUAUUUUAAUAAAUUUCAUUUUACCCCUAAUUUAAUUAUGAGUAACUAAUUUUCUUUCAAGCUUGGGUUGAAGGUGAAGUCUCAAUAUGUUCCCUGGUUUUUUUUUUGGUAAAUUUAAUUUUUCUUUUUGACUUUUUGUCGACAGAUAGUAAUAAUCUUGUCUAGAUACCGCACUGGUAUAACUGGCUCCCAAGUGUAGUGUUAUUACUAUUUGGCACGAUAAGUCAUUAACACCAUAUUAAUUAGAGUGUGGUUUAUAAGGAGUGGAAACCCCCCUCAUGAUUUAAUUGGCACUAAUAAAGAAUAUUAAGCCCAUAGUGCAUGUUGAUGCAGAUCCAGAUACCCAAGCAUUUCAUUUUAACAGAUUUUACUUCAAUUUAUUCUCUCCAUUUUAAUUUGAAAUAAUCUAAAUCACUUCUACCACAAAUCCAAUCACCCACUUAGAAAAUUAACUCUAUACACAAUUAAAAUCCACCUUCUCGUGGGAUCGACGCUCAUCACCAUUGAUAUAUUCUACAAUAGAUUCGUGCACUUGCGAGUUCAAUAAAAUUUACAUAACAACAAUAACGUGCAAGAAAAGAGGUUUUGCAAGUUUUUGGCAAUAAUAAGAGUGAUUAUGAUGGAUUGAAUCACCUCAAAAUUGUAAGUACAAAUGAAAUUGAGUUGAAAUAUGCUUUACUAUAGUUGAUAAAUUUUGGUCGUAUUAAUUUGCGUUUUGUGUGCAUAUCUUACACGUUCAAAUGAUAUUCUACAAGGUACCCACGCUUUAUCCCCCAGUAGUUAUACAGGCCGAGCAAUCAGAAUUUUAGGAUGAAAAACAAUGAAAUUUGGAUGAAAACAACAAACAUUUAAGGUGGGCGAUAGCACUGUCCUUAAGAUGCCUCAAGAUGCAAUAUCUCGGUGCAAGAAGGGCUAACAAAAGUAGUUUGAUCUCCACUAUACAAUUUCUACUAUUGUGAUGUUGCACUUGAACAUGAUAAUCUAGAACAACAAAAUGUAUAAUGACGAAAGAAAGGAAAACAUAGAGCAAGAGAGUAAGUUUUCGGAUGACCAUAGUGUGAUCUAUUUGGCUCUUUAAAUAGAUACAAGCCCUAACCCAUUUUUCCUCUCUAAAUUGGAAUUAUAAUUAUAUUUAUUAAAUCCUAAUUCGAUUAGGAAUUGAAUUCUCAAUCUAAUUCGAAUUAAAAUAAAUAAAAUUAAAACAAAGGACAAAAACAUAAUAGAUGGCCAAGCCCUCACAUAUACAUGAAACCCCAUGGGGGGGAGAGGGUCCCCCUUGCGAGUGAGUUAUUGGGUAUGAGCGACCAAUUAAUAGAGUCAUGGAAUGAGCUCUUCUCAUGGGCUUGGUUUCAUGCAAAUGGGCCUCCUCUUCAUAGGCAUGUUACUGCACUUUAUUUGGUUUCUAUAUAAAAAUCAACUUAUACUCUCUUAUUUAAGUAAUGUGGGAUAUUGGUAUUUUAAAAUACCAACUCAAUCUUUAACAAUCCUCCACAUAUUUCAAAAUACUCAAUUUCUUUCGACUUCAUCAUAGUCCAUAGAGUUUAAUGCAUAUGAACUGGUGCCUUUUGGCCAAUGAACUAGCCAUUGAAUACCUAACCAUGUCUCAUAGGAACUUGGUGAAACUGAUAAUUUCUAUAAACCAAUAUUCUCUUUUUUUUUGUAAGACAGAGGACUAGAAGCUCAUAUUAAACUCUCUCAAUGUUUUGUUGUUUUGCGAUUUGGCACUUUAGUAGCCAUGUGCCCUUGUUUUCAUGAGCACUCUAGAGAAGCAUGUUUAACUCUCAUAGGAACUUACCCAAUUCUACACUAACAUAGGUGAACCUCCAUCAAGUAUGUCAUGCAGUUUUGACACACCAUCAUAUAUAAAAAGUGAGUUAUGAAGUUUAUUAAAAGCUCAAUUGCUUAACCUAAAUCACUGCGAUAAACAUUAUCUUGUUCUAGGGAGGAUUUACAAAUAAAGAAAAUAUUUAUAGAAUAAAAAUAAGAUUACAUAAUAUUGAUAAUAAAUAUAAGAUUACAUAAUAUUGAUAGUGUUACAAAACAACAAGUAACUUAUUAAACGUUCUUCAUGGGAUCUCCAAUCACACAGGUAGAGUUACCAUCACUCUUGUCUUUUGAUCUAGACAGUAGUCCCAUCUCCCUUGAUGUGAUCUCUACUUAACUCUUGUUUAGUGUUUUUGGUAGAGGAUUGGUCAAAUUCAACUUUGUCCUUACAAAAUUUAGGCUCAUAAUAUUUGAUUCCAAUAGCUACUUAACGAUACGAUGUCUCAUAAUGUGUAUACUCUUCUUAUUAUAUAUGUCACUUAUAGCUCUUACAGUAGCAACUUGACAAUCACAAUGGAUUGGCGUAGUAGUAGGAUGGUGAGCAAACAUGGGAAGAUUUUCCAAAAGGUUUCGCAACCACUCAGCCUCAAAACAUAUUUUCUCUAAAGCAAUUAGCUUGAAUUCCAUGGUAGAGCAAGCUAUACAUGUUUGCUUGGAUGAUUUCUAAGAUACUGCACCUUUAUCAAGCAUGAAAAUAUAACCUAGUGGAUUUGAGCUUAUUUGAUCAGAGAUCCAAUUUGCAUCACUAUACACUUCAAGUACUUAUGGAGAUCUACCAUAUUUAAGCCUAUAAUCAAUGGUUCCUCUUAAAUAUCUAGCAAUUCUAGCUACUGUAGUCAAGUGAUAGUCGUCAGGUUUUCUACAAUUCAUCAAGUACAUUAGGUUACCAAUUAUUUGGGCAUACAUCACUUGAUCAACACUAUGUUAGGUAUUCUUCUUUAUGUGGGUAUUAUUAUCAUACGUGGAAGGGACAUUGUUUUGCAAUCAUAAUACUUAAAUCUUGUUAACAGUUUUUCAACAUAAUGUUCUUGCAAUAACAUGAGACCAUCACAAACUUUUAUAAUUUUGAUGCUUAAAAUAACAUUUUCCUCUAUCAUAUCUUUCAUAUCAAAAUUAGAUUCAAGCAUCUCCUUAAUCUCAUUAAUAGUUCCAACAUUAGAACUUAAAAUAAGCAUGUCAUCAAUAUAGAGACAUAUGAUGAGAAAAACAUAAGUGUUUAUAGAUUUAGAACAUAUACUUUUGUCUAAAUCAUUAAUCGUAUAUCCAUUGGACAAUAAUACUUGAUCAAAUGUCUCAUGCCAUUGUUUCGGUACUUGUUUUAAGCCAUAUAGAGGCAUAACCAACUUGCACACUUUAUGCUAGAACCUAACAACCUUCAGGUUGAUCUAGAUAGAAACUCCUCAUCUAAGUUUGCAUUGAGAAAGACAAUUUUAACAUUUAUUUGACGCACAUGUAGAAUAUGAAUUGAUGUAAGAGCAAUCAAAACUCUAAUAGAUGCAAUCCGAGUUACAGGAGCAUAUGUGUCAAAAUAAUCUAUAUCUUUCUUCUAUAUGAAUCCCUUGGCCAUCAAUCUUGCUUUAUAUUUAUCAAUAUAUCCAUCAACUUUUAAUUUCUUUUUGAAAAUUCACUUGCACCCAAUAGGUUUUAUACCUAGAGGUAUGUCAACUAAUUCUCAUACACGAUUGCUCAUUAUAGAAUUUAGUUCAUUGUUGAUAGCUUCUUUCCACUAUAGUGCAUCUCGAGAAAUCAUAGUUUUUGUGAAAGUCUGAGGAUCAUUUUCCGCAAGAAAGAUAUAGAAAUCAUCCUGAUGCAUUUUCUUAGUUCCACAUUUGAACUUUCAGAAGAAUUAAUUGUUGAUUCAGUAUAGGAUAGUUGUUUCUCCAUGCUAGUUUUUUAAGAAAAAUAGAUUCAAAGAACUUAGCAUUCUUGGAUUCAAUGAUGGUAUUAGCCUCAAAUGAGAUACCUUAAUCUUGUAACACCAAGAACCUAUAGGCAACACUCUUGUGGGCAUACUCUAUAAACAUACAGUUGAUAGUUUUUUGUCCUAAUCUUAUUCUUUUGGGAUCCAUUUUAAGAACUUCGGCUAGACACCCCCAUAUUUUAAGGUGUGAUAAGUUAUGCUUAUAGCCUUUUCAUAAUUCAUAGGGUGUCUUACCUAUUUCCUUAUAAGGUAUUUUGUUUUGAAUAUGACAAGCAGAUAACAUAACUUCCUCCCACAAAUUCAGCAGUGCCCCAUAACUUAUUAUCAUGGCAUUUACCAUGUUUUUCAAAGUUUUGUUUUACCUUUUAGCUAUACCAUUAUAUUCAAGUGAAUAGGGAGGUAUCACUUCAUGGAUGAUACAAUGAUUCUCACAAUAAACAUUUAACAUGCUUGAAUCAUAUUCACCUCCUUUAUUAGUUCUUGAUCUUUUAAUUGUCUUAUUAAAUUGAUCUUCAACUUCACUUUUAUAGACUAAGAAAUUUUCACCUGCUUUAUUUUUAUUUCUUAAUAGAUAUAAUUUUGUAUAUCUCAAAAACUCAUCAAUAAAAGUAAUAUAAUACAUUUUGUCUCUUCUGAUCAUAGAUUGUUUCAAAUCAUCAAGGUCACUGUGAAUUAAAUUGAGAAGUUCGGUUUCUCUAUAUUGAACUUAUCUACAUGUCUUCUUAGUGGAUUUGGCUUCAACACACACCUUGCAUUUGUCAUUAGAUAAGCUCAAAUUAGACUGUAAACCAAGUUCUCUCAUUUUAUUAAUAUAAGAAAAAUUCAUAUGACUAAGUCUCCUAUGCCAAAAUCAAUAAAGUCAACUACACAAGCAGAAGAAGAAGCCUUUUCAUUUAUUAUAAUAUUGGAUACAUAAAGUUUCAAGAGUUCUCUAGAACAAUACCCUUUUUGUCAUUACAAUUUUAUCACCCUCAAAGGAGACUUUGAACCUAGUUUUGCCCGCAUAAAAACAAAUAAUAGAUUGUAUCUAAUCUCAGGAACAUGGAGUACAUUACUCAAUGAGAGGUUUUUCCAAGAUGUAAGCUUGAGAAGAAUUUUACCUUUGCUUGGGAUUGAAGUAGAUCGAGAAUCACCAACUUAAAUAACUUGCUCUCCCUCCCGCACUAGAUUUAGUCAAAGAAAGAGUGUUUAUUGUUAUAUAUAUGUCUAGUAGCUCCAGAAACAAUCACCCAAUCUUUUCUUCUAUUUACCAUGUUCACAUCAGAGACAACUACAGCAGCAAUGAUGUCAUCUCCUUUUCCUUCAAUCAUAGGCUUUAGGAGGUUUUUUGCUAUCUUCAUUUCUCAUAGCUUUAUGCUUGCAUUGAUUAGCAUAAUACCUACUUUUUCGACAAACAAAACAAUGACCUUUCUUCUUAGCAAUGAGCCUUUUGGAGUUAUUAAGGUGUUUAUUAUUAAGAUUGUUCUGCUUUUUAUUAGGUUGAGGAGUGUUCUCUAUUAGAUUUGGAUUGGAAUAAAAUUCCUUUACUUUAUCGAAUGCAUCUCUAAUUAUGUUCUUCUCUUCAAUCUUAAUAUAUAUAAUAGCAUUUUCAAGACUCACUUGCUUCUUCUUAUGCUUUGAGGUUUUAAUAUUGUUGAGUUCUAACAUUUUUAACCAUUUUUUUCUUAAGUAGUGCCCAUAUCUCAAACGCAUUCUUAUAUUAAUAGUAAACAUCGAAGGUAGAACUAGCAAGAGUGUUCAAUAUUGUGUACUUGUAGACCUUGUUACAAAUAUUCUAAUUCUGGAGUUUCUUGUCAUUAUCUUCAGUGCCCUCUUUUAGUGGUGAUGACUGUAGAUAGUCAGUCAGGUCAUGAACAUCUAAUACAUCAAAGAGCUUUACUUGCCAGUGCUUAAAAUUUUUGCCAUUGAACAAUUCAAUCUUGGAGGUAUUUGGCAAGUUUUUUUUUCCUAGUGAUUAUAGUGGAAGCAACUGCUAGAAGAUCGGCAGUGGGAACAAUAAGUCCAGAGGCUGAGGGAGCAUCAUGUCCAACAACUAAUGAAGACAAAUUUUGUGGUUGAAUAUCACUCAUAUUUGAUCUUAAGAUUGUUGGAAUUUUAGGACAAAAAAAUUGUGAAAUGUGGAUGAAAAAUAGCAAAGAGUAAAGGCGUACGAUAACAUUUUCCUUAAGAUCAAAAUGUGCAUCUCAACAUGCAAUAUCUCAGUGCAAGAGGAAGUGAUGAAAGUGAUUUAAUCUCGAUGUUGCACUUCAACAUGAUAGUCUAGAACAACAAAACAUACAACAACGAAGAAAAGGAAAACAAAGGACAAGAGAACAAGUUUUUGGAUGACCAUAGUGUGCUAUAUUUAGCUCUUUGAAUAAAUGCAAGCCCUAGCCCCUUCUUCUGCAUUAAAUCUGAAUUUUACAUAUAAAAGGAUUUGAUUGAACCAUAAUUUGAUUAGAAAUCAAAUUCUCAAUCUAAUUCGAAUUAAAAUAAAUAAAAUAAAAAGGGCAAAAAUUAAAAGAUGGCUAAGCUGGUGCACAUGCACGAUAGCUCCGUGGGGGAGGUGGGGCCCCCUGCACAUGAGUUAUUGGGCAUUCUCUUUAUGACCUUGUUACCACACUAUAUUUGGUUUCUAUAUAUAAACCAACUUAUACUCUCUUGUCUAAGUAAUGUGAGAUAUUGAUAUUUGAAAAUACCACACUAUAUAAGUGAUGUGAGAUAUUGAUGCCCAAACUUUAUCCCUCAGCAGCUAUACUAGUCGAGCUAUUCGAAAAGAAAUGAAGCUUGGAAGCUUGACAUUAAAAAUUUUGAAGCUGUUAUAAUACUAUACUUACAGUUAAAAAUGUACUAGCACUACCUUAAAUCAAAUUUAUUAUGACACUGCUCGAAUUCUUUCCUCACUAAUUAGAGAAAUAUUUACUUUAUCAACAACAAUAAAGGAGAUAUUUCUACUCAUUUUUAAUUGGAAGAGGAAUAAUCGAGUCCUUAACGUGAGAACUUAAACCCAUGCCCUUACUAAAGUGAGAGUAUAAAAAUUCACCAUUUGACUAAAAAUUUCAAGUUAAAUUAUGGACAAAUCCAGCAUGGGACCAAUUUGGACACAUGCCCCAGCUAGUUUUUGAAUUUUUUUUAAUUAUUUUAAAAAUGUAUUUUAUUUUAUUAUUUAAGUGAUCUAGCAAAAAUAAAAAAUUAUGAAAGUGUCCCAAACAAUUUUAAAGAUUUUAUGUUGCUCCUAGUUUAAAUAUCUAAUUUUAAAUAAUUUAAUUAACUAUUUAAACAUUAUGAAAGUUAAAUCAAGACAAAAGACUGUAGAUAAAACAAAAGAGAUUCAUUUUACACUUUUUACAUUUCUCGUCCUUUUUUUAGUGCUUUGAAUGAAAGGUACUUUAUUUAUUUAUUUGUUAUAGUGGUAGUAGAAUAGUUGAUCAGAGCAAUGCGUAUGCAGCCAUACGUGGAUUUCAUUGUAGUUCCCAUAAAUGAAAGGCACUUUCCUACAAUUAUUUAGUUUUUUAAUAUUGAUCCCUAAAUUCUAACUCUAGUCAAUUCUAAUUUUCAAUUAUUCCAAUUGACCUUUUAUCUAGAAAAUCCCUAGUUUUAUCAUGUAUUCAUGUUAACUCUUUGCGUCACAUUAUAUGAACAUAUUUACUAUCAUAAAAAGAUUUUAGAGAAUAAUUUAAUUUAGAGAAUAAAUUAAGUGAUAACUUAAUUGUAUGCAUUGAAAAAUAUGCUUUUGAUUAUAUUAAUAAUGAAGUUGUUUCACGUUAUUUUCAACAUAUUACAUCCCAUCGAAAAGCCUUCAACAAGGGCAAUUGUAAUGAGUAAAUUUAUUAUUAAUGAAUAUUAGUAUUGUCAUGUUAUAUAUUACUAUAUAAAAUUUUAAAUUAUAUUAUAUUUUAAAUAAAGUACUAAUUAAGAGUGUGCAGUCACACAUAGGGAUGGUAAUUAUCAGACCCGGACGAAUCCGGAUAAUCCGGGCCGGAUUCAACCCAUAUAAGAAAAAUUUAAAUCCAAUAUCCGGAUGUAUUCGGGUCCAGUUCUGAGUUUGUGUGAACUCGUAAAUCCGGAUCCCAAUGCUGAAUAUCUUUAUUUUAAUAUUAAUUUUUUUAAUAUAAAUAGAAACAUCAAAGAAAAAGAAUUUAACUGUGCCCUAGUUUCACUCUCAAAUAGAGGUGGCAAAAAUACCCGCCCGGUCCGGACCCGGACCGUACCCGGGCAUUGCGGGCCGGGUAUUACCCGGCUCGGGUAUGAAGCCGGGUCGGUCUUGGGCAUCACUUGAUAAACCCAGAAUCCGGAUUUUAUUAAAAAAAUUAUAAAAUAUAUAUUAUUUUAAAUAUUUUAUAUUUAUUUGACUUAUUUAUUAUACAUAUAUAAAGUUUUAAACACUUAAAGUUUAUAUUUUCAUGUCAAAUUUUAUUGAAAUAAAUUUAAAACUUAUAAAAUUACUAAAAAAUAAAAAAUAUAUACACAUAAAAUAUUAAAAAAUAUAAAAUUCGAGUACCCGGAUUAAAACCCGGCCCGGACCCGAACCCGGACUGGUUGCAUCCGAGCAGGGUCCGGUCAUGGCAAUACCCGGACCCGGCCCGGGGUUUUGCCAUCUCUACUCUCAAAGUCGCGGCCGCCAAAGCCUUAAAGCCAAAAAUUUCCUCAUCAAAUCACCAUGAAUCGUGCUGUGUUCCUCAUCUUUACCGCCAAAAGCCCAACUCAAAUCAACAUGCUUAACCACCUCCGCGGCCGAUGACUGUGAUACGGGUUGAAAACGGCACCAUCAUCAUCAGCGGCUUGAGGGCGAUUGCGGCUGUGAUGCAGUAUAUAACCAUUAUCCCGAUAUCGGUAUCUUCAGCAAGGCCAUGGGUGUCUCAUGAACAGUUUCAACAAUGAUAUUUUCGAGAAGUUGGCCCAAGAACGUGAUUUCAUUCUCUUUGGGUUCUGGUUAUUGAAAUGGGUAGUGGAUUGUGAUUUGAUGGGAGUGUCAUACAAGGCAAUUGCAAAACAAGUAAAGGCUAAAAAUGGGAUUUUGAAAGUGUUUUUUUUUUUUUCUUUUCCCUUACACGACUGUGGCUUUGAGAAGCUUUGGUUGAGUGAUCCAACGCUCAUCGUCAUUCCUUACAGUGAGUAAAGUUUGUUAAAGUUUUUUUCAAAGCAAAUAAGAGAUUUUAAGUUAAAAAAUAUCCGGGUUUAAAACCUGGAUGUUUCUGGAUUGAAACCGCACCGGACCCAAACUUAAACUAUACGGUUACUAUCCGGACCUGGGAAGAUGAAUUGACAUUCGGGUCUACAACCGGAAAGACCAAACCCGGACCCGGACCUAAAAUUUGCCAUCCUGACUCACACACCUUAUGGAGUACGAUUGCGUACGUAACAAACACCCAUUUGACAGUUGUAAGACCCACAACAAUACUCGUCAAAUGAGAACUUAUCACACAAACAGUUGUAUCCCUGAUCAUAUUCGAUUUUGAAUGUACCCCAACUCGGUUUCGAUCCUGGCUAUUUUCCUGUUAAACUUUUUCAUCUACCUACAAUUGAACGAUGGUUAACCAAAGCACGGUUUAAUAUUAAAUUCAUAAAUUUUAAGAGUACAGAUGUCAUUACUAGAAAUUCUUAUUUACAUAUCCACACGCAUAAUUUUAUUUUUGAUGAAAUUUUAGUGUGUUUUUAGAAAAUAUAAUUAACCGAACCAUACACUCUAUGGUUCUAGAACAAAAUCUUGAGUUGUGUAAAAUAAUAGACCCGUGUUCUCUUUUAACACUACUUGUUGGAGACAGUAUCUGGUCCAUCAAACGAAUGCAGACAAAAAUGAUUUUAUCCGUCAUUUAAACCAAUCUUCCAACCUCAAAGAUACAUACUCUCCCAUUUCUCACAACACUUAAAAAAUUUCUGAGUGUGAAAUGGAAUUGACUCUGAAAUCCGUAGCGUUCACCAUUGUUAUUGUAACAUUGGUAACAUGGGCAUGGAUGGUGCUGAACUGGUUGUGGCUGAGGCCCAAGAAGCUGGAGAAAUUCCUGAGACAGCAAGGUUUAAAAGGCAAUUCUUACAGGCUUCUGUUUGGUGACUUGAAAGAAAGUACCAUCAUGUUGAAGAAAGCAAAAGCCAGACCUCUCAGUUUGGAUGAUGACGCUGCAGUUCGUGUUACUCCAUUCCUUCACAAACUGUUCAAGGAUUAUGGUAUGUAUGUCAGCGGCCUCAUAUUCUCUUUUACUUGUUUCCAAUUUCAGUAGGUAACAGCCUAUCCACUCAUUGGUUGAACGGUGUCAUUAUUUACAAAGUUAAUUUAGAAGGUUCGUUAGAGUUAUAAUUAUAAACUAAAAAUUGGAUUUUGAUUAUAAAUAUCAGUGAAAAGUAUAACAUGAAAAGUUGGUUCUUGAAAAUUUUUAUGGGUUAAAACAUAAUUUUAAUCUCCUUCGAACAAAGAAAAACCUAAUUAUAGGUCUGGGAUAUCGACGUUGCAGCUUUCCUUGGGCUUUAUCCGUUAUUCUUUGUUUAUUAUGAAGAAACUUUAUAUAUUGUGAUAAACGUUAUAUAUCGUGAUAAACUGAUAAACGUUUUUAAACAUUAAUGCUAUGGGAGAAACGUCGGUGAGGUAGUGUGGACUACAAGUGGAUCCCGAUGAUGCUCAGCCAUUUCUUUGUGGGACUACAAGUGGAUCCCGAUGAGGUACCCACUCCUCUGCCAAAUCACAAAACAUGUGUGGCGCUUGAGGUGGUAGGCCACCCCUCGGAAUUUUGUCUCUAAAAGCUACAUGUAUCUAGAGAUUGGGAACUAUCUAGUUUAGCUCGGCUCUGGGUGAAAACCGAACUAAACUAAAAUAAAUUGAUUUAUCAUUUUGUGGAUUAUAAAUCAAUUUGUGGAUUGAAUACGAAUCAAAUGCUAGAAUUGAACUGAAUCGAAUUAAUUUAGUUCGGUUCGAUUUUGUGAUUGGGUUUAGUUUUGAUUUUAUUUAGUCCAAGCAAUUUUACUUGUAUAUUUUUUUUAAUACAAACUUUGCUUGUAUAAUUAUUCAAUAAAAAACAACAUAAUAAUAUAAUAUUACUAUAACAACAAUUUUAAGUCCAUAAAUCCACGAAUAAUAAACUAUGUAAUAGAAUUCAACACAAAUAAAUCAACAUAAUAAAGUCACAACACGAAAUAUACAUAAUUUAGAAAUUCACUACAAAUUACAAAUCCACAACAAUAAAUAAAACAAGAAAGCAACAAUACAAAAUCAUAUAUAGGAGAAAUUUCAAAGUUCCACGUCAAUUUAAAUUUGUGAGUUUUAAUUUUUCUCUCUAAAGCAUUUGGGUUUUCAGUUUAGUUCGAAUUAAACAAACACAAAUUGGUUUGGAGAUUUAUGAAUCAUUUGAUUUUUUACUGCCCCCAACCGAAUGUCUACCCCUAUGAGAGACCAAUAAUUUUCUUGAUAAGAUGGGAUAGUUGCUCUAACUCAACCUGUUGAUGAGCUAUGCCACGUGUAAAAUUCCCAGAGGGAAAAUUGGUCUGUGGAUGGUGUUACUCCCCGUACAGUGCACAAUAGCGUUGUGUAGUUUCAACAUCAUUUGCAAAAUCUUGUGAAAUCACACCAUGAAUGUAACUUCUUACCUUGUAUUAGGCUUAGUUAUUUGGAAUAGAAGUUUAAUGAUUGAAGUAAAAUCAAUUGGCAUUUAUUCUUGACUAAGUUUUGAAUAAAAUCACUAAACUUUUACUGCUUAAAAUGUGGCCAUGCGCAAUGGAGCAUCUGCCUUCUAACUUUUGCAUAUAUAAUGUUAAAAACACUAAUGCAGGUAAGAAUUCUUUCAUGUGGUUUGGUCCGACACCAAGGGUGAAUAUAACGAAUCCUGAUCAAUUAAAAGAGAUAUUUUCCAAGAUCAAUGAUUUUCCAAAAAUCAAUUCAAACCCACUUGCCAGGAUACUGGCAGCUGGCUUGGUUACUUAUGAGGGUGAGCAGUGGGCUAAACACAGAAAAAUUAUCAACCCAGCAUUCCACCAAGAGAAGCUCAAGGUUAUUAAUUUCUUUAUCUGUUUACAUAAAUCUCAUUGGAAAAUUCCAUAUUCCCUUCAUUUUUCAUUUUGAUUUCUUGCUCUCAUUACAGCUUAUGUUGCCAGCAUUCUGCCAAAGUAGUAGUGACAUAAUUACAGAGUGGGAGAAGCUAAUGUCUACCGAAGGAUCAUGUGAGUUGGAUGUAUGGCCUUAUCUUGCAAAUUUGACAGGGGAUGUGAUUUCUCGAACUGCUUUUGGGAGUAUUUAUGAAGAAGGAAGACGGAUUUUCCAGCUCCAAUCAGAGCUAGCUGAACUCACAAUACAAGUUAUUCGUUCAGUCUAUAUUCCAGGAUGGAGGUACAUGUACAUUUCCUUGUUAGAUCAUAAAUGCUUAGUUAUAUUUCCGCUUUGAUUAACAUGGUGGGAGUUAAUUUUUUUUUUUUUUGGGGGGGGGGGGGGGGGCAAUUACUGAGAAUAAGAUCCACGCAACUCAUUUUGGUUUAGAUAACUCAGAUUGUGCCAUUAUAGUGUUAAUCUAAAAUGGUUCGGUGGAUUUCUGACGUUAAAUAUUAGUAGAUUAUAAUUCAAAAUAAAUAAAUAAAUAAAGACUAGGGGUUGAUUAAGUCAUUUAGUUAUUAUCUCUCUCAUAACUGUUUCUAUGCUUAUUUGUAGGUUUUUGCCUACUAACAGAAAUAAGAGAAUGAAAGAACUUGACAAGGAAAUAAGUACUGCACUCAUGGGAAUCAUAAAAAACAGAGAGAAGGCAAUGAAAGCAGGGGAAGCUGCAAAUGAUGACUUGUUAGGCAUACUGAUGGACACCAAUUUUAGAGAAACCGAAGAACAUGGAAAUAACAAAAAUGUUGGAAUGAGCUUCAACGACGUGAUGGAAGAGUGUAAGCUAUUUUACUUUGCCGGCCAAGAGACUACCUCUGUUUUGCUUAAUUGGACAAUGGUGCUUUUGAGCAAGCAUCAAGAUUGGCAAGAACGUGCAAGACAAGAGGUUUUGCAAGUUUUUGGCAAUAAUAAGCCAGAUUAUGAUGGAUUGAAUCACCUCAAAAUUGUAAGUACAAAG
RNAcentral lists this long non-coding RNA (22654 nucleotides) under Citrus x clementina. RNAcentral's name for it is "Citrus clementina (C. clementina) long non-coding RNA (CCLE_LNC004365)". Lineage: Eukaryota; Viridiplantae; Streptophyta; Magnoliopsida; Sapindales; Rutaceae. The record is from RNAcentral.